Molecule: long non-coding RNA, 3634 nt
Filed under: Macaca mulatta (Rhesus monkey)
Lineage: Eukaryota; Metazoa; Chordata; Mammalia; Primates; Cercopithecidae
Description: lncRNA (ENSMMUG00000055972.1)
Source: RNAcentral
AUGGAUACUUUUUUCCCCCAGGAAGGCUUGAGGAGGAAAGAUGUGUCCUGUAGUCCAGACUGGCCCACACACGCAGUGACCAUGGACUUGUCCUGUGAAUCUCGUGCUGCAGGAUCUGAUCUUGUAAAGAUAAUUAGAAUCUUGAUUCCAAUGCUUGGCCAUUCCCUGUGGCUUUCUUUUAUGAGUGAGACACAGCCAGCCUCUUCCCCUCCUGGUGAAAUUUACCCAGGCCAUGUGUCCAACUGUUUAACCAUGGAUACAAGAGCUAUGGCCAGAGCGUUUAUAAAGUGAGUGAAGCAUCUAUCUAUUUUUAACCUUAAACUUCGGAUUUUUCCCAUUUUAGUCCUGCGGUGUCUCAUUUCAGCUGUUGUAUUUUGCUUACAUGUCUGUGUCAGGUUGGUCAGGUUUCUGGGGCUACCCAAGAAGUACAGUCAUAACAGCUUCAGUAACUACUAUCCAUAGACUGCCAUGGUGGGAGAGGCAACAUUAAGCUCUGAGUCAGACAGUCCUACUUUGAAUCUCAGCUCUUUCUCUCGUUAGCUUGUCAUAUAACCUAACCUUAUCUUCACCUCACUUUCCUCAUCACCACAAUGGGAAUAGUUAUAGUAUAGCUAUCUCAUAGCCUCAUCAGAAGCAUUAUGUGAACAAAAAGUAUGGAAAGUGCUGAAUAGUACCUUGUUCAUAGAGCUCAGAAAUUCCAAAAGUGGCUGUUACUAUUAUUGUUGUUGAUGUUAUUUACAAAUGACUCUUUGUCAUAUUUUUUAAAUUCUCAUGAAAUUUGUGGCGGAGAGGAAACUGAGACCAUGAGGUAAGUUAAAUGACUGCCCAAGUCACUAUAUAUCUUUCCCUUUUAAGUAUAGUCUUUCAUCUCUUCUCUCAAGUUUAUGGAUUUUAUUGUUGAGAUUAACAUUUAUAAAUGAAAGUCUAAUUGAAAAGAAAUAUAUAUUUAUAUGUGUCAGACUUUUUUUCAAUAUACAAACUGCCUUUUCAAAGGGGAUGAAAUCUCCCUUAGAGUCCUAUCUCACACUGAAAUUCCCAGAAAGUGAUUGUAAAUUGCCUAUGUCAACAACCUGUGUAUGUUCACACAGAAAUAUUUUUCCAUUUUCUUCCAGCUUCUCCUUGCCAUGAACUAAGUCACUGUGUUGCUCUGUUUCCCAAGUAUGGCAUACCUAUGCCUUCUCUAGUCUAACACUGAUAUUUCCUCCAUCAUUGUCUUCACUGAUUUCUCCUUUGCGAAUGUUUCAAAAUUAGAUUACUGUCUCUCAUAAAUUUAAUUCAAACCCUAGACCAGAAUAAGAAGUUAUAAAUUGCAGUCUCUUAUAAUUGCAAACUGGAACAAGCUUGGUCUAUAUUAUUGAAGAAUAUUUGCAUGUGAUUUUUACAGAAUGGUCCAUCCAUCUUCAAAAAUUUUUUUAUGGAAAAGCUUAAUUAGAACUUCUUUCCUUCCUUUCCGUUUUGAUUUUCCCUCUUAUUAUUUUCAUUAUGCCCAUCUUAGACUUUGCUCUUCUCAGAAGCUCCCAGCAGAAUGAAUUUUAAGAGAUGCCUUGAACCAUGUAAAGUAAGUACUUAAGAUCUAGCUACUGUUUGUUGAGAUACUGCUAUAUUCCAAAUAGUGUACCACAUUUCCUUUACCCUCACACCAAUACUAUGAAAUGGUGAUUUUUAUGCUUUUUUUCUUUACAAAUUAGGGAAAACUACAGGUGAGUAAUGUUUAAGAUAAUAAGAAAGAGGUAGGUAACUUUAUUCAAAACACAAACCUCAUUAGGGUUGAGCAGAAGUACAAAAAUAAGUGGAUCUUAUUUUUAUGUCAUUUUUAUGUCAUAAAGGAUGCACACCAGUUUCACAGACAGGCUCAGGGGCACAUUGCCAUCCUUUCCUGUUUACUCGCAGUCUCAAGGGAGCCCUUUUUUUCUUCCCCUGACCCUGAUGAUCUCUUCCUAGAGUUUUAGUGACCAAAGUGCUCCUAUCCCUAUGGAAGUGCCUCAGACAAGUAUGAUAACUUGGUGGUUUAGAAAUAAAAUGGACAAUAUCAGUGAGAAGUAGGGUGGGAUCAAGAUUCCAGAAUAAAGAGGACAUGACCAGAGCACCAAACCUGACCUCAAAGGUAAAGUAAUAACGGGAAAAUACUACCUGGUAAACUAAUAUAGCAAAACUUCCUAGGAGGGUUGAAUAUGAGCCACAAUCAAAGCAAAGAUGGAGAACACGAUCAAAACACAAUCAAGGCAAAGAUGAAGAACAAGUGUAAGGAUACUCAAUAGGUUGUGAUGAAUACCUUCAGCACAUCUGGGGAGCUUUGGACACCACCUGAAGUCAUCGAAUCUUGCCACUGUGAGUUACCUCUGUUCUCCUUUUCGAGCUUUUUCACUAAGUCCUUGUAGGGAAAAGAAUGCCCACUGGACACUGACUUUUCCUUGUAUCAUGUUCCUUAGAGAGACAGGAAUGGGAAGAGCAUGGAUGUUAGACUCCAACAGAACUGGGUUCCAGUCAUACCACUUGCUUACAAUAUGACUCUGAAACAUUCGCUUCUGUAUUUUUAGCUUAUUUUCCUUUUUAGCCAAAUGAGGAUAACAUCUAGUCUAGUUAUUGUGAGUACUGGAGCUAAUACACUACAUAAUUAUCAAUUGAUGAAUGUCAAUUCUAGGUUAACAUGGAUGGAAAGAUUAGAUACAAUGAAAAACUGAGAUAAAUGUAAACGGAUUACUCUUUAAUAUGAUACAGAAAGAAGUCAGCACAUUCAGGAAUAGAGAAGAGAGACUGACAUCUCUCAAUUCCAGGCAGUUACUUGUUUCUGGCUUACUGUUAACAUGGCAUCAGCAGUAGGCAUGCAGUUGAGGAGAACAAGUGAGAAAGGAGGAGCUAGAUCUUGCUGCCUGCCUCCACAUCCAGUCUAUGUACCCAAGACUUCAACAGUUCUAUACUUAACAUUAAUCAGGACUGGUGCUAGGCACUACUUCCCCAGACCCAGGAUAAUAACCAAUGGCUACAGAAAAGGGGAACAGAACAGUGACCUCAAGCACUCUUAUAACCCUCACAUGUGGGCCUGAACCUCUCCAGGCCUAUUUCAUGCACUUUCCUUAACUAGAGCUGCCAAACUGGAAUGAGAGUCAGUAACCCACAUGCCUCUGGUGUCAGGUCAAUAAGCCCUUAGGCUCCCCCCAGGAGCUGUUAAACAUUAAUGUAGAGCACCUGUUACUAAGUAGUUAUAACAUCAUAGCAGUUAUCAUUAUUGUCAUCAUCAUCAUCAUCAUCAUCACUAUUAUUAUUUGUGUUUCUCUUUUUCUUAUCGGAUGACCAUUGGCCUCUUAGUUGACACAUUCAUCAAACUUUUUUUGAGUGUUUACUAUACACUAUGUACCACACCAGGCACUGGUAAUCCACUGUUGAAAAAGAUACUUACAGCACCUGCCCUCAUGGACCUAAAAAGAUCAUUUUGGUGCAAUGUGAUAAUUGUCAUAAUGGAGGAAUUACAGAGUGUUUUGGGAAAACCUAAAAGGAGCACUUAACUCAGAUUUAGAAACAGAAACAAGAGCCAAAUUUGGAAACUGGGCAUUUCUCUUAUUCAUUUAUUCAAUUACCUUUACUCAUUCAACAAAUAUUUAUUAGACAGAGCUUUCCAAUAAAAAUAUACAUGAGC